Long non-coding RNA from Notolabrus celidotus (New Zealand spotty), 1494 nucleotides. RefSeq lists it as uncharacterized. The record is from RefSeq and is a predicted model, not a curated record. The transcript is spliced from 4 exons. Lineage: Eukaryota; Metazoa; Chordata; Actinopteri; Labriformes; Labridae.
AUGCUCUGCGCGCCUACGUCGGCUGAGAGCAGCAUGUGCUUCGCUGCUGUGCUCCAGCUAUGGCUCAGUGCGGCUCCGGCUCUUCAUGGAUGAGCAUCGUACGGUCGGGACUCAAGCAAGGACCAUCACUGCGCUGGACCACCAGGAGGAAAUCAGCUUCUUUUACACUUUACCGGAAAUAAUCACACUGAUCGAUCUGCUGGAUUUGUCAGAUUACCGAUCAAAUCAACGAACCAUCGGACGCAUAAAAAGGAUUUAAUGUCACAGCGCUGUCACACGUGGAGUUAUUAUUAUUAUUAUUCGUAUAAGUAAAACUAGACGAUGGCAACAGCUGGUGGAGUCAAUACUCCAGCUUGGGGUCGUCCUGUAGGAUUUAAGGAUAUACUGUCUCUCAUGCGGGAUGAGUGGUGUCCAUUACUCAGCUGCUGGACAAGCCGUUUGGCGGACAGAGGAGUCUCUUGGGAUACUUUACGCGCGUGUCACAGUGCACAGAUGGGCAGUGCAGUGACAUGGUUUUGGAGAUCGAUACUUGUUUCGCUGGAUUUUGGCACUUUGAAAGGAAUAUCCUGGAAUAUCUUUCUAGAACGAUGCCCAGAAGAAGUCCUCCAAUUUGGAAAGUGACAUCUCUUCAUCCAGCUGUGAAGGACUCCGAAUUCUUGGAACAAGAUGUCGACCUUUGAUUGUUUCCAAGUCAUCUAAUGAUGAUUUCAGGUGAGCGCUGAGAAGAGGCUGACUAAUGGAAACAUGAUCUCAAGGGACUCAGCAGGAUCCAACUAAAUCCUGGAUUGGAUGUUGGACCAGCUUCCCUUGCAGCAGAUGUUCACUUCUGGCAUCUCCCGAACAAUCUCACUCUCAGGAUCCAGAGCUGGCAGUUUGGACGUGGAGGAGCGGUGACAUAAAAUCAGCAGGACAUUGGAGUGUUGUCUGCUGCUUUAUGGAACGGAUCAGUCAGAUCCGUCUGGAGAGGUGCUGGAUAGGAAAAUCGGAUUCACAAAAACUGUAUUUACCACAAUGGAUCUACAAAUUAUUUAACUUUUUCAAAAUUGAACCUGGAUUCUUAAUUUUUUUCCACCUGCCUACAUACAUCCGCCUAGGAUACAGAAUCAACAAGUUCCUGAACUGCAAAUGGAAAAUAAUCUGUGUUUUUUCAUCGGUUGUAUUUUUAAGCCCUUGCACCACAGCGUCACGUACAUAGUUCAUCUGUUUAAACAGAGUGUUUAAUUAAUUAAUACACAUGUCAUCUCUGUUCCUCAGAGGGAUUAGUCAAUCAUAAAAAUGAAACUCUUAUGACACCUUGUAAAUGAGAUCACAAAGAAGUGUUUGUCAAGGUGCAAACCUAAACCUCAUCUAUUGACACUGGGUAUCAUUGUGACACAUUGGAAGCCUCUGUUAAUAAACCUGUCAGACAGUUUAUUCUCAUCAUGAUUUAUGAAUCCAUAAAUUUUGUUGUGUCUGGUAAAGCCUGUUAGUAAAAAAUUAAAAAAGUGUAUCCAA